CAGUCCAAUUUUGGAACAAAUAUUGUACUACUAUAGCAUCGAAUGGAUGGAAUGGAUGCAUCUUUAAGUUGGUAAUUGGUCGUUAUAAUCAAAUUGGGAAGGGAAAUUUGGCAAUGUUUAAAUUGAAAGUUAGAAUUUUCAACUUUGGCAGAACGUUCUUUGACAACUUGAGAGGGCAAAUGUUAGACCGUUAUUGGCUAAUAUGGAUAAAGUUUGAGGUUAUUGGUUAGGUUAGCAUGACUUACUAUAUAGAUAUAUGUUGUUGGCUAGAGAAUGAUUAGAAAUUGUUUAAAUUUUAUUUCUUAAAAAGUUUAAGGACAUAGUAUGAUUCUCUGUUGUAAAGAUUGAUUAUUAAGGGAAAAAAUCGUGUGUAAAUAAAUAAUUUAAUAACGAUGAUUAAUUGAGGGUUAUGCGAUAUUAUUAUCAAACUUGAGAGAUAAGGAAUGAACGCAGGGGUUUUCUUGAUAGAUUAUGACCAUUCUUGAGGCUACAUGUAAGAUUUUUAACUCCCAGAUCCAUUUUUUGAUCCAUAGAACGUAAUUUAAUGGGGAAUUAUCGAUAACAAAGAGUUUUGAUAUGGAAUUAGUUAUGGAGAAGAAAGUCCUAAUUUGGGAAUUGGAUCAUGGACCAAUAACAAGCGGAAUAAAUCCAGAAAGGGAAAAAUCAAGUUUCUUAGGGGAUUAAAUCUUUUGUUCGAGGUCAUUCUUAGGCGGUUAUUGAUAGGCCUCACUUAGAAGAUCAGUGAUCGCCAAUCCAAUUCAAGGGUGAGCUAGUUCUUCCAAGAUGCGAUGAGUUCUCUUUGAUCUGUAUCCAUCAUUGCGUAUUUUGACUAUCUAGUUAGUUAUUUGUACAUUAGUUUGGGGUUUUGACCCUUCUUCUUUAUUCUUAUGGGUCUUGUUAGAGUUUUGGUACAUUGACUUUAAUUUUCUAGGCGUAUUUCCCCAUUUGUUUAGUUGUUAGAUAUUUUGGAAGUUUAUGCAACUUCAACUUUUAAUGCAA
Long non-coding RNA from Solanum lycopersicum (tomato), 999 nucleotides. RefSeq lists it as uncharacterized. NCBI's taxonomy places the organism in Eukaryota, Viridiplantae, Streptophyta, Magnoliopsida, Solanales, Solanaceae. The record is from RefSeq and is a predicted model, not a curated record.